Molecule: ribosomal RNA, 836 nt
Filed under: uncultured Planctomycetota bacterium
Lineage: Bacteria; Pseudomonadati; Planctomycetota
Description: bacterial SSU rRNA
Rfam family: Bacterial small subunit ribosomal RNA
Source: RNAcentral
UGCUAGCUGUGUAGCAAUACAUGGCUAGCGGAAGUGGCGAAAGGGGCAGUAAUGCAUGGGUAACCUACCUUGGGGAUGGGGAUAGCCGUUCUAACGGACGGGUAAUACCCAGAGAUUCAGCGGGAGGGCAUCCUUCUGCUGGGAAAUGAAUUUCGCCUCGAGAGGGGCCCAUGUGCUAUUAGCUAGUUGGCGGGGUAACGGCCCACCAAGGCUAAGAUGGCUAGCGGGUGUGAGAGCACGACCCGCGCCACUGGCACUGAGACACUGGCCAGACACCUACGGGUGGCUGCAGUCGAGGAUCUUCGUCAAUGGGCGCAAGCCUGAACGAGCGACGCCGCGUGCGCGAUGAAGGCCUUCGGGUUGUAAAGCGCGAAAGUGGAGAGAAAGGGAAACUUGAUCAAUCCACAGUAAGGACGGGCUAAGUUCGUGCCAGCAGCCGCGGUAAGACGAACUGUCCUAACGUUGUUCGGAAUCACUGGGCUUAAAGGGCGCGUAGGCGGUCCGACAAGUCGGGGGUGAAAUCCUGCAGCUCAACUGCAGAAGUGCCUUCGAUACUGUUGGUCUGGAGGGAGAUAGGGGUGUGCGGAACUUCCAGUGGAGCGGUGAAAUGCGUUGAUAUUGGAAGGAACGCCGGAGGCGAAAGCGGCGCACUGGAUCUCUUCUGACGCUGAGGCGCGAAAGCUAGGGGAGCAAACGGGAUUAGAUACCCCGGUAGUCCUAGCCCUAAACGAUGAGUACUAGAUUGUAGACUUAUCAUGGGUUUACAGUCGAAGCAAAAGUGUUAAGUACUCCGCCUGGGGAGUAUGGUCGCAAGGCUGAAACUCAAAGGAAUUGAC